GAAGGCAGACAAUAGGGUGCAGGAAGGAGAACAGCUGUAGGGAAUAAAAACACUUGGGAAGGUCAUAUAAGGAGGAGGGGAAUUGUCACAUGGGUGAAGUUUUCAGGAAGGUGCUAUUGUGUGGAGACUUGCAAGGAGACCUGACCUUAUAAGGAAGAAAUAAAGAAGUACUUUUCACAAAAAUGAGGAUGCAGCUGUGCUCCUCUCCUCCAUAGCAAAGGAAAUAUCAGCCAUGUGCUCUUCAGAGCUGUCAGGUAGAAGAGGUCAUUAAAGUCUUGUCUGGAUGUGAGGAUCACUCUAGGCAUGAUGUAAGGAGAGUUAACAUGCUGCAGGAGCCCAUUUCUGCUUUCAGAAUGUGUCAUUGUUGCCUGCUAUGGCUGAGUUGACCUAAGGAUUGGUAGGAGAAUUAAGCUAGCUACAAUGAUGGUAGGAAUGGAGUGGAAUAAAGGAGAUCUGGAGCAGAAAAGGACCAGAGAAGAAGGACCUGAAAUUGGAAUGCAAAGCCUUUGUGGUAUCAAAUGUAGACAGAUUGCAGAAAAACAAAACCUCAGAAGUACUCUUUCAUCUUUCCUGAAUGAUGGACGUCAGUACCUUUUUUCCAGUUUGUGUACUGUGUUCACACCUCUGGGUGUCUGUGCUCCUGCUCCUACUACCUGCAAAUGGAAGUGGUUGAUAAGGGCUAUAUGAGUACGUGCACAUAGCAAGCAGCUGGGCCAGAUCCACUUGGUUCAUUGUAUUCAUUCAAAGCUCAGAGUAAAAAUUCCAUCUGUGUGUAAUUGUUACUUGAUUUCCCAAUUUCUCCCUUUCUGGGGAGGGGUGGGAUGGGUGGGAGGGUUAAACAGAUUGUUACUUAUACCCCCACCCUACUCUCUGGGCAUGUUUAACCUGGGCGUCACUGCAAGUAUCUGAACUGAGCAGGGAUUGGGUCUGCUGCACUGAAAGCAAUUGCUAAUAUCCAGUUUCCUCUUAAUACUUUGGAGAUCUUCAGAGAUUAAUGGCUAAAUACAAGCCUGCUUGUUCUUGUACAACAAUCAAUGCUCUUUAAAUUCUAUGUAGUAUCGAACCAGGAAGGCGGAAAGAAGGAAAAUCACUAUUGACUAUUGAGAGUCAGUGAUAAUAUUUUUGAUAAUAUUCUUUAUAAGCUCAGUGAUCAAUCUCUGAGUACUACUUUAUUACAACUUAUUCUAGAUUCUUCUGUGCCUGUGCAUGUCUUGUCUGCACUGCACCCCUUGCAGGACCAUGGUCUGCAGAGGACUGUGUACAGUGUAAAAUAGAACAGAGGCUAGCUCUAGUUGUAAUCUCUAGGAGCUUUUCUCUAACCACUUAUUAAAGAAAAGGCACUGUCCCUUGAUUACUAAGCAUAGUAAAUAUGAGUGUCUAAUGAUUGGCUUUAUUUCUGGAGAUGUGAAGAAUCUGCAAGACUGAUUCAAGGUUUUUGAUGUAGUUAGGAUUUUGGAUUUUAGUGUGGUCAGUGUUGACUCAUCUAUGUUCUUUCUGAAGUCUGAAACAUUUGCUGUGACUUGGAAACAAUAAUUUGUUUUUCAUAUCCCUUCAGUAAGAAUUUGGUUGUACCAUCAGUGUGAUGUCUCUACUAUAAUAUCUCAUGGAUCACUAUUGGUGCUUGAAGAGUAAGUCAGGAGUAUUAAAUCUAUUGCAAAAU
Molecule: long non-coding RNA, 1660 nt
Organism: Oxyura jamaicensis (ruddy duck)
Lineage: Eukaryota; Metazoa; Chordata; Aves; Anseriformes; Anatidae
Exons: 4
Source: RefSeq, a predicted model, not a curated record